CACGUCGGCUUGGAAAAUCAUAUAUUCAGAGAGCUUGUCGCCGUGUCACUGUUGUUAAGUUAAACUUGACUUCUGCGUGGGGUUUCUUCAAAUUUCCAUCUGGCGAGGGUCUCUUUCCCCCGACUAUUCCAUUUCAUCUUCUCCAGUGUCUGAUUUUUUUUCCUCAGUUACUUUCUCAAUCAAUAAUGAUCUUAAAGCUAUUCUUGAAUGUUUUGUUUCACCUUUCCUCGAUAUUUCUUCUAUAUAAAGCUAUAUCUCUUAACCUAAAUUCAUCCUAAAUAAAAAAACUUUCUCUGAAGAAGAUACAUCCAUGGCCAUGAAAUACCACCGCAAAAUUUCAGCUCUCCACCUACAAAUCUACAGUCGUUGUCUACUUCUGCUGAAACCACCCCCCAAGAGAGAAGCUAAGGCACAUGAGGUUUACCAGAAUUCGCUGAGGACAGAGGCAGAAGCUCGUGUGGUCAAUGGAACUGGAGCUGAGCUUGAUCAGAUAAGGUCGGAUGUCUAGAGGCUAGCUGAAGAUAGACAGAAGCCAUCGGCGACCACAACUGUUCUUAACGGCGAGAUAGCCAAGGCUACAGCUAAAUCGGACUGAGCCAUGGAGAUUAAGGCGGACUCUUCGAGAAGAAGUUAGCAAAGGAAGGUGAAAACUGAAUAUACCUUUGUUGUGGAGUUGACAAUUUUGGACGAAUAAUGAGAUUCUUGGGUUUGGUUUUGAAACAUGGCUUCUCUUGAGCUUGAGAGAAGACAUGAGCGACCAUGAACGCGGUAUGGAGAAGACCACUGAUCACUUACAUCGUCAAACUGUGAACUCCAAGAACAAUUAUCUGGCGUGGAGAUCAAAGCUAGGGCAGCAAUUGCAGCUGUUGAGGCAGCUCAAAACCCAAGCAAUCUUAAGGUUGAAAACUCAGAUGAUGCUUAUUGCUUACGCAAGCCAAGGCCACCAACCCCCUGAAGCUAACGGUUCUCACCAGUUUCUCUAUAACACUGCAACAUACACGAAUCCAUAGAACAUAAACUCAUUGCAUACAUCCACUGCAUCAAACGCGAGUUACGAUAUGUCCUUAAACUUGGGAUCUAUAUGAUUCAUUUAGUUUGUUUACAAGAGACGAUUUCAGUUACUAACAUUUUUAUAUGUGUGCAGGUAUAUGUAAAUUAUGAACUAAUGUUACCUGGGAAGUUUGUGCUAUAUAGAGAAGAUGAUAUUUUGUCACUCUGGUGGAAAGAGUAUGCAGAUUGCAGCCAAGGCUCUCUAGCACAAGUCGUUCCUAAAAAUAAAUUGAAUAAACAGUUAAUUGAUACUCAUUUAGAAACUUUUGUGUCAUCUACUGUAUAUGAAGUUGAAGAGGAGAGAGUUGGUGUACCUGUUAAGGGUGGGCUAAAUGAGGAACCAUAAUACUGUUGGUGGACUUGGUGAGUAGGCAUUGUUUCCUAUAUACUGGAAUGGAGAUAAUCGGCCUGUGCUUAGAGUCCAAAAACUAUUACAGAACACUUGGAGCUUCCAUAUCAUAACAAGGUCUGGCGCAGCAGAAGGUUUGAACCCUAUGGGUUUCUUGCAUCUCAUGUUGAUUUGCAGGUUCCAGGAAUGUGUGCGAGUUAUCAUUUAUGUGUCAAAAAUUGUAAAUUUCUUUUCAGAUGAAUGAUUGCAUAGAAAAUAUUGUCCUAAGUUGUUAAUGUAGAUACUUCAGUCUCUCUUUACCGGGGAGGAUGAUACUUGGAAAUCUUGGCUUAAAGCGGUUAUGCCUGCUGUUCUAAACCUACAAUGGUUCUCAAAAUAUUCUGGAAUUAAGUCUCACAUUUCUUUUUUUAUCUAAAGUCUACCAGGGAUUGUGUUUUGAAUCAUAUUUCUUUUGCUUCUAUUCACGAGAACUAGGCCAAGAACUGCAGAGCUCAAAUCAAGGAUCUGCAGAGGCGCCAAAUUGUAAAUUGAAAUGUAAUCUUUUCUUUUCUUUUUUUUUUUUAGUAUAUCAGUUUGGUCUUUGAUGUUUAAAUCCAUGUAAGUUCUCUAUAUUUUCAUGAUAAUCCAGAAAUUCCACUUGGU
Brassica oleracea var. oleracea is the source of this 2041-nucleotide RNA transcript. RefSeq lists it as uncharacterized. The record is from RefSeq and is a predicted model, not a curated record. NCBI's taxonomy places the organism in Eukaryota, Viridiplantae, Streptophyta, Magnoliopsida, Brassicales, Brassicaceae. The transcript has 5 exons.